Molecule: ribosomal RNA, 468 nt
Filed under: uncultured bacterium
Lineage: Bacteria
Description: partial 16S ribosomal RNA
Rfam family: Bacterial small subunit ribosomal RNA
Source: RNAcentral
GACGAACGCUGGCGGCGUGCUUAACACAUGCAAGUCGAACGAACAGGCCCUGCGCUUGCGCCUUUCUCGUUUGCCGCGGGGGUGAGUAACACGUGUGUAUACCGCACCUGUCUUUGGGGUAACAUUUGGGGACUGGGGCUCUAAUCCGAUAUAAUAUCUUGAUGCAUGGGGUUGGUUGGAAAAUUUCGGCGGUGGGGGAUGGACUCGCGGCUUAUCAGCUUGUUGGUGGGGUAGUGGCUUACAAAGGCUUCGAAGGGUAGCCGGCAUGAGAGGGUGAACGGCCACAUUGGGACUGAGAGACGGCCCAGACUCCUACGGGAGGCAGCAGUGGGGAAUAUUGCACAAUGGGCGGAAGCCUGAUGCAGAAACGCCGCGUGCGGGAUGACGGCCUUCGGGUUGUAAACCGCUUUCGCCUGUGACGAAGCGUGAGUGACGGUAAUGGGUAAAGAAGCACCGGCUAACUACGUG